Molecule: long non-coding RNA, 1520 nt
Filed under: Mus musculus (house mouse)
Lineage: Eukaryota; Metazoa; Chordata; Mammalia; Rodentia; Muridae
Description: long non-coding RNA chrX:169830518-169832038
Source: RNAcentral
AUUUAAAUAUUUUUUUUAAAAAAGAUUUCUUCUGAAUUAAUCUGACCAUUGCAUAAGUUGGGGAAGCAAAGACCAAAUAUUUUGUAAGAAUAAUCUUUACACCCUAUAAAUUAUUAUUCUUUCCCAUUUUCUUUGCAAUAUCAUGUUUUGUGUUAGAUGACUUCUUUAAAAUGUUAGAAAAUAUCUCAAGAAUAUGAGAUUUAUGAUUAUACUUACAAGAAAAUGGGAAUUGUGAUGGGUAAAUACAUAAACUUUCUUGGAUCUACCAUGUACCAGACAUUUCACCAAAUCCUUUACAAAUAUGUUACCACCUACUUGGCUCAACAACACUGAAAACUGGAUGCAAUGCCCAUUUUAAAGAUGAGGGAACUUAGUCCCUGAAAGCUUAGGAAUGGAGUAGACUGUGCCAUGUGAAUACUGAGGCAGCAGGUAAGGAUUCAUCACCUCUUCCAUCAAUGCCCUUUUGAGUCCAUUUCUCUGUUGCUCUUACCACUCAGCUUAGCUUAUUUGCUUGCUGCCUUGAAAUUCUCUGUAAGCAGAUAUAUUUAACUAUGGACAAGGGAGUCCCUAUACAUAACCUUGCAUAAGAAAGUGCUUUGUUGCUAAGUGUGAUGAUUCAUAGAGCAAACUCAGGAAACUGAGGAAGUAAAAUUGGCCCAAGUUUGAGGCUUACAGAAUGAGUUUGUCAAUUCACUCCGAGCAAAAGAGUAAGAAUCUGUCCUUAAAAAUAAUGAAAAACAAAAAACAAAAAACAACCCUGCUUUUGAAGUUUCAAGGAAGAAACAGUAUAGUUUUUUUUAAUUUCUUUUUUCUUUCUUUGUAUAUUUUGUUAAUAUACAUUUCAAAUGUUAUCCCCUUUCCUGUCCCCCCAAAACCCCUAUCCAAUCCCCCCUGCUUCUAUGAAGGUGUUACCCCAACCACCCACCCACUCCUACCUCUCCACCCUGGCAUUCCCCUACAGUGGGUAUUGAGCCAUCACAGGACCAAGGGCCUCUCCUCUCUUUGAUGCCCGACAAGGCCAUCCUCUGCUACAUAUGCAGCUGGAGCCAUGGGUCCCUCCAUGUGUACUCUUUGGUUGGUGGUUUAGUCCCAGGGAGUUCUGUGGGCCAGGGGGUGGGGGUCUGGUUGGUUGGUUUUGUUGUUCAUCCUGUGGGGUUGCAAACCCCUUCAGCUCCUUAUAGAUUUUAAAGAAUCAAUAUAUUAGACUGGCAUGUAAAAAUGAGAGGUUGGCUUGGCUUUCUAUUCUGUGUACCUGGGAUUGAGUUAGGUAACUGGUAAAUGGCACCAGUCCACAUAGACACUGGAAUACAUAUAUGUAUACUUUGUCUUAAGCCAGCCUCGCUUUCUUCUGCAUCCACUGCUCCCAUUGAAGUUACUAUUUCUAAAAACCAAAAUGAUUAAUAAAUGAAAAAUGAUUAAUAAAUAUUCUGAUAAUCUGUUAUAUUCAUAGUACUGUUAUUAGUUUAUUUCCACAUCCUUACCAAUUGCUUUGUAUAUCAACAUAUUAGCAAAAAUAUACC